GAAGGCCCUCUGGGUUGUAAACUGUCUUUUAUCUGGGACGAAAAAAGGGUAUUCUUACUCACUUGACGGUACCAGAGGAAUAAGCACCGGCUAACUCCGUGCCAGCAGCCGCGGUAAUACGGAGGGUGCAAGCGUUAUCCGGAUUCACUGGGUUUAAAGGGAGCGUAGGUGGGCUGAUAAGUCAGUGGUGAAAUCUCCGGGCUUAACCCGGAAACUGCCNUUGAUACUAUCAGUCUUGAAUUAUCUGGAGGUAAGCGGAAUAUGUCAUGUAGCGGUGAAAUGCUUAGAUAUGACAUAGAACACCAAUUGCGAAGGCAGCUUGCUACGGAUUGAUUGACACUGAGGCUCGAAAGCGUGGGGAUCAAACAGGAUUAGAUACCCUGGUAGUCCACGCCCUAAACGAUGGAUACUCGACAUCAGCGAUACACUGUUGGUGUCUGAGCGAAAGCAUUA
This 453-nucleotide ribosomal RNA is filed under the name Ferruginibacter sp. RNAcentral describes it as "bacterial SSU rRNA". It matches the Rfam family "Bacterial small subunit ribosomal RNA", at positions 410 to 862 of the family's 1533-position model. Lineage: Bacteria; Pseudomonadati; Bacteroidota; Chitinophagia; Chitinophagales; Chitinophagaceae. The record is from RNAcentral.